Molecule: ribosomal RNA, 301 nt
Filed under: uncultured bacterium
Lineage: Bacteria
Description: partial 16S ribosomal RNA
Rfam family: Bacterial small subunit ribosomal RNA
Source: RNAcentral
CAGUAGCCGCGGUAACACGUAGGGUGCGAGCGUUAAUCGGAAUUACUGGGCGUAAAGCGUGCGCAGGCGGUUAUGUAAGACAGUUGUGAAAUCCCCGGGCUCAACCUGGGAACUGCAUCUGUGACUGCAUAGCUAGAGUACGGUAGAGGGGGAUGGAAUUCCGCGUGUAGCAGUGAAAUGCGUAGAUAUGCGGAGGAACACCGAUGGCGAAGGCAAUCCCCUGGACCUGUACUGACGCUCAUGCACGAAAGCGUGGGGAGCAAACAGGAUUAGAUACCCCCGUAGUCCCUGUCUCUUAUAC